UCCACUUGAUUACAUUACACGAAGAAAUAACUCUUCCUCUAUUACCACUCUUCCCGGAAAAUAUGAUACACAAAAUAAAGCAAAUUGACAUGACACAAAUUCAUUGGUUUAUUUUACUUUAUCAUUUCCCAAGUUACUUCAAUAUAAGAAAACUACAUCCAAAACCAUGGUUUACACCACAUAUCAGACUAUAUAUUCGAAACUUCCAUUCCAAAUUUUUUCCCACAGCCUUCACUCGUCCCACCUCCCUCUCCAAUGAAGCAAAGCCAGAGCCACAGGCGGCUAGAUCAAUAUCUUUAUAGCAUUUAAAGGGGAAACUAAUGACAUAAUACCAAUGAGGCAAAACCAGAAAUGUUGUCAUUGUUAUUCAUUAGAAUUUAGAAGGGGCUAGGAAUAGAAGAAUUCAGAAUUACAAAGAUCGGCUGUAAUUUCAAAAACCAAGCUCAAUAGAGUUCCAAGCUUCCCAGCUAUUUCUGUAGAAAAUGAAAUUGAUAGUGGUCACUAGGCAGCUACGAUGAAGCAAGCUGAGGGAUGUUCAAACUAGAGUAACAAGAAUCAUAGGCAGAUGGAUAUGUGCAUACACUCUAUGCUCGAGCUACUAAUAAAUUCUCUCUCUCUCUGUAUCUUUGUGUGCAUGUUCUUUUUUUCUUUUCCUAAUUCUUGUCACUUUGUUUACUUUACUGCGCAUCGUUUUAGACACAAAAGAAAAACUUGCCAUGUAAUACCCAACAUACCACAAUUGAA
Molecule: long non-coding RNA, 744 nt
Filed under: Nicotiana benthamiana
Lineage: Eukaryota; Viridiplantae; Streptophyta; Magnoliopsida; Solanales; Solanaceae
Description: long non-coding RNA (NBEN_LNC036950)
Source: RNAcentral